GACGAACGCUGGCGGCGUGCUUAACACAUGCAAGUCGAGCGGUAAGGCCCUUUCGGGGUACGACGAGCGGCGAACGGGUGAGUAACACGUGGGUGACCUGCCCUUAGCUCUGGGAUAAGCCUGGGAAACUGGGUCUAAUACCGGAUAUGACUCCAUAACGCAUGUUGUGGGGUGGAAAGCCUUGUGCGGCUAGGGAUGGGCCCGCGGCCUAUCAGCUUGUUGGUGGGGUGAUGGCCUACCAAGGCGACGACGGGUAGCCGGCCUGAGAGGGCGACCGGCCACACUGGGACUGAGACACGGCCCAGACUCCUACGGGAGGCAGCAGUGGGGAAUCUUGCGCAAUGGGCGAAAGCCUGACGCAGCGACGCCGCGUGGGGAUGACGGCCU
RNAcentral lists this ribosomal RNA (387 nucleotides) under uncultured bacterium. RNAcentral's name for it is "bacterial SSU rRNA". It matches the Rfam family "Bacterial small subunit ribosomal RNA", at positions 28 to 417 of the family's 1533-position model. The record is from RNAcentral.